This 245-nucleotide long non-coding RNA is filed under the name Mytilus galloprovincialis (Mediterranean mussel). Lineage: Eukaryota; Metazoa; Mollusca; Bivalvia; Mytilida; Mytilidae. The record is from RNAcentral.
GUUCCCAUAAUUCUGUCCAACCCCUUUAAAGUGUCACAAUGACUCGCACCCAUUAACAACCCAUCAUUCGACAAAUUAUAUUAAACAACCUGAUUUGUCUCCUAUAUGCAAAAAUUACGAGUCAGGUUUUUUUGCUCUAAUAUAAAUGGCCAUUUUUUUUCACACAUCUCGUUUUUGAACUCCCAUGCGUAUUUGUUACUAUCAACUAUAUGGCAUCAAUGCACACAAUUCAAACUAUCUUUUCA